AUAAAAAAACCCCUGCUUUCGCAGGGUCCUUCUAUUUUUCCUGAAAGCCUAUGUUGACUUCCAUUUCAAGAAGGCAAAGGGAGAGGAGAAACCGGAGGAAGAACUUAUGGGGAAACGUAAGUCUUCUCCGCGG
Molecule: regulatory RNA element, 133 nt
Rfam family: ylbH leader
About the family: This family is a putative regulatory RNA structure that is found upstream of the ylbH gene in B. subtilis and related low GC Gram-positive bacteria.
Source: Rfam